UUCAGACUUUAAUGCUCAAUUAAAUUGAGCUAAUUAGUGAUCUAAUCACUGACUAAUCCUCCAUUAAUAAUAGAGUCCCAGUCAAAUGGGAUUCUUCAGCAGAGUCUCAAUCCAAUUGGAUUCUUCAGCAGAGUCUCAGUCCAGUGAAACUCUUCAGAUCAGUCAUUUGAUCCGAGAGCAACUUCUAAUGUAUGUGACCCCAUAGAUUCGAACCUAAGUCGGUAGCACAGGAACAGAUUUCUAUAUCAAUUGGAGUAACUAUAUAGGAAUGGCACCUGACGUUCAAAUAGACCGAAUGUAUACAAAGCAACGCUCAAAAACCUACUUGGAUACAAUUACCGUAUAAUUCAUCCCUUUGACCCUUGAUGUAAGGAUGACUUAGAGUUUAAACUGUCAACUCCUAACAGUAUAUCCAUUAUGUGUCUCAACUUAAUAAAUUCUAUGACUCCUCACAAGGACUGCCCUGGCC
RNAcentral lists this long non-coding RNA (469 nucleotides) under Elaeis guineensis (African oil palm). Its description in RNAcentral is "long non-coding RNA (EGUI_LNC003097)". The record is from RNAcentral. Lineage: Eukaryota; Viridiplantae; Streptophyta; Magnoliopsida; Arecales; Arecaceae.